GAUGAACGCUGGCGGCGUGCCUAAUACAUGCAAGUCGAGCGAACAGACGAGGAGCUUGCUCCUCUGACGUUAGCGGCGGACGGGUGAGUAACACGUGGAUAACCUACCUAUAAGACUGGGAUAACUUCGGGAAACCGUAGCUAAUACCGGAUAAUAUAUUGAACCGCAUGGUUCAAUAGUGAAAGACGGUUUUGCUGUCACUUAUAGAUGGAUCCGCGCCGCAUUAGCUAGUUGGUAAGGUAACGGCUUACCAAGGCAACGAUGCGUAGCCGACCUGAGAGGGGGAUAGGCCACACUGGAACGGAGACACGGUCCAGACUCCUACGGGAGGCAGCAGUAGGGAAUAUUCCGCAAUGGGCGAAAGCCUGACGGAGCAACGCCGCGUGAGUGAUGAAGGUCUUCGGAUCGUAAAACUCUGUUAUUAGGGAAGAACAAAUGUGUAAGUAACUAUGCACGUCUUGACGGUACCUAAUCAGAAAGCCACGGCUAACUACGUG
Molecule: ribosomal RNA, 497 nt
Filed under: uncultured bacterium
Lineage: Bacteria
Description: partial 16S ribosomal RNA
Rfam family: Bacterial small subunit ribosomal RNA
Source: RNAcentral